CGACUAAGCGUACACGGUGGAUGCCCUGGCAGUCAGAGGCGAUGAAGGACGUGCUAAUCUGCGAAAAUCGUCGGUAAGGUGAUAUGAACCGUUACAGCCGGCGAUGUCCGAAUGGGGAAACCCAGUGCAAUUCGUUGCCCUAUCGCUAACUGAAUACAUAGGUUAACGAGGCGAACCGGGGGAACUGAAACAGCGUCGGUAA
This 202-nucleotide ribosomal RNA is filed under the name Klebsiella pneumoniae. RNAcentral's name for it is "partial 23S ribosomal RNA". It matches the Rfam family "Bacterial large subunit ribosomal RNA", at positions 1 to 209 of the family's 2925-position model. Lineage: Bacteria; Pseudomonadati; Pseudomonadota; Gammaproteobacteria; Enterobacterales; Enterobacteriaceae. The record is from RNAcentral.